This 2174-nucleotide long non-coding RNA is filed under the name Marmota monax (woodchuck). Lineage: Eukaryota; Metazoa; Chordata; Mammalia; Rodentia; Sciuridae. The record is from RNAcentral.
CAUUCCUCUUGCCAUGGCCAGGAUGGGUGCCUUCUGUGACCACGGGUAUCCUGGUGUCACCAGGGUCAGUGGGGUGAGGAAGAACCACCCGAGGCCACGCAAUUAGAGUGUGUGCUUUUAUUUAUUGGUUUAUUUAUUGGCAUACAUGCUGACCUAUUUAUUUAUGCAAUAUGUAUGUAUGAUACCGGAGCUCCACUUCUGUCUUUGAAGCAUCAGCCCCAGAAUUUGUCUUGUAGGUCCCAAAUAACAGUGAAUUAUUCCUCUCAGAAGCCACAGAAAAGAGGAGACAUUCUCUCCCUCUGCCCACGUACCCCCACUCCAGCCAGAUUUCCCACCAGAAAACACCAGCUAGCGAGGCUGUCGGACCCCACGUCACAGAGGCUCCACCGUCUGGACAGAAGCCCCAGGGCCCUCCUGACCUGUCCUCCCCCUCAGCUCCUUCCUGACUCCGCAGGCCCCAGCUGCCCAGCUCCCACCCGGCCACGAGGAGCAUGGUGCUCACGCUGCUCUGACGUAGCACGUUAACUCCAGAUGCAUCCGCGCCUGCUCUCCACCCAAACCAGUCGCGGCAGGCUGUCCCCGCAUGGUGGGCGGGCAUGGUGUCCCUCACUUACCAGGUGAUUCUGCUGUGAAAACAAGGCCGAGAAGUUCUUCCAGGGUCUUCUCCCCUUGCCCCUCCCACCACUCAGGUCCCUGCCUCCCGGCUUCCUCUGGAGUCCCCUCUGUCCCCCCAGCCUGGCUCCCCACUGAACAUUCCCACCAGCCCAGCCAGCCUGAGCAGAUGUCUGGAGAGCUGGGCAGUCCCAGAGUCAUGCCCCGAGGCUGGCACCGGCCCUGCCUGAGCCUGCUCCCCGAGUUCAGCUUCUCUAGGAGCCGAAGCCCCUCCCGGCCUGGCCGCUCUCUCCUCCUGCACCUCCCCCAGUCUCCCAAACUCCAAAGGUUUAAAGGGCACAGUGUUGACAUCCCUGUCUCCAGGCCCCAAUCCUAACAGCAAGGCCACGCCAGUCUCCGUAAGCAAAGCCAGGCCAUUUCCACAGAGCCACCUGAGUUGGCAGAGGGGCUAACUGACACCAGGAAGGGUCAUGACACCCCCAAGCCAGUCUUUUGCCCAACGACCUUGCAGUGGCCACCAUGCAUCCGAAUCCUAGAUGGCCGGGAAGAGACAUCGCCCUUCACAUUGGCGAGGCCUUGACUGCUGAGUGUGUGCAAGUGUGCGUGUGAGUGUGUGUGUGCAUGUGUGCACACCCUGUCUGCACAUAAGACCUGGACCUGCAGAGCUUCCGGAUUUUGACUUUAUGGUAAUGAGAAUCUGCACGAGACAGUUGGGGACUUCUGUCAUCUUUGACUCGACAGGGAUCUGCUGUCCUGUUUUCAAGAGGGACCAGUGCAUUCCAUUUUAGGUACACACAGAGAAUGCUGUAAUAGGCACAGACCCUCGGCCACCCCACACACCCAGAGCCUAGGGUGCCUGUGGUGUGGGGCGGCCCCCAGGCUCAGUCUCCCACGGCAAGGACACCGUGCCACUGCCCAGCCGUCCCCUGCCUGCAUUGGCACCUCCAAGCCUUCUCUCCCCGCUAUAGCAUGUCCUGCCCCAAGUCCCGUCUCUCAGGGUCCUGCUCUCUGAUAGGUGACAUUCAGUCAGUGGGUGCUAAAGAGUCGAGAGUCACGCUUCACAGGUAGCAUUUGUUUUAACAGGGGCUACGAAUCAUGCCUUAAUCUGAAGGAGUGGCUGUAGCGGUGGGAACUUCAGGCCAGCCAGGGAGAUUACUUCUUAUCAGAAGGGCAUUUCAGAGCCCUGAGUCACACCCGUCCUGAGACCAGCCCUCCACGCUGCAGAAGCACACUCACCAAGCACACUUCCCUUCCUCUGAGAUGUCCCUGCACCGGCCCCAUCUCUAAAGUGGAAGAGAAAAGCCCAGAAACAGGCUAAGUUAGUCUGAACCUCAUGGGAAGCAGCCUGUCCUCGCACAGGCCAUCAGCCAUCGGGUCCCCGCCCGCCCAGCUUCCUCCCGCCCUCCCCUCUGUGCUGCCCCCUGGGUCCAGGCACCUGUGAGUCCCUCUGCCUCUAGCCUCCAACGCUCCCUCCCCUCCCGGCCCCGGCUGGAGUUGCGCUGUGUUCAGGGUGGCCGGGACGAACCCGCAGGUGAAGAGCGUGAGCAUGUGCGUAUCCCUUG